GACGUAGGGCGCGAGCGUUGUCCCGAUUUAUUGGGCGUAAAGAGCUCGUAGGCGGCUUGUCGCGUCGUCUGUGGAAUCCCGCGGCUCAACUGCGGGCUGGCAGUCGAUACGGGCAGGCUGGAGUUCGGUAGGGGAGACUGGAAUUCCUGGUGUAGCGGUGAAAUGCGCAGAUAUCAGGAGGAACACCGGUGGCGAAGGCGGGUCUCUGGGCCGAUACUGACGCUGAGGAGCGAAAGCGUGGGGAGCGAACAGG
RNAcentral lists this ribosomal RNA (253 nucleotides) under uncultured bacterium. RNAcentral's name for it is "partial 16S ribosomal RNA". It matches the Rfam family "Bacterial small subunit ribosomal RNA", at positions 524 to 776 of the family's 1533-position model. The record is from RNAcentral.